RNAcentral lists this ribosomal RNA (433 nucleotides) under uncultured Latescibacterota bacterium. RNAcentral's name for it is "bacterial SSU rRNA". It matches the Rfam family "Bacterial small subunit ribosomal RNA", at positions 945 to 1382 of the family's 1533-position model. Lineage: Bacteria; Pseudomonadati; Candidatus Latescibacterota. The record is from RNAcentral.
CUUAAUUCGACGCAACGCGAAGAACCUUACAGGGCUUGACAUGCAGGGAAAACGGCGGAAACGUCGUGUCCGAAAGGGCCCUGCACAGGUGCUGCAUGGCUGUCGUCAGCUCGUGUCGUGAGAUGUUGGGUUAAGUCCCGCAACGAGCGCAACCCUUAUCCCUAGUUGCCAUCAGGUAAAGCUGGGAACUCUGGGGAGACUGCCGGUGAUAACCGGAGGAAGGCGGGGAUGACGUCAAGUCCUCAUGGCCCUUACAUCCCGGGCUACACACGUGCUACAAUGGCAGGUACAGAGGGCUGCGAAGCCGCGAGGUGGAGCGAAAUCCCAGAAAACCUGUCUCAGUCCGGAUUGAAGUCUGCAACUCGACUUCAUGAAGGCGGAAUCGCUAGUAACCGCGAAUCAGCAGGUCGCGGUGAAUACGUUCCCGGGCCUU